RNAcentral lists this ribosomal RNA (314 nucleotides) under uncultured bacterium. Its description in RNAcentral is "partial 16S ribosomal RNA". It matches the Rfam family "Bacterial small subunit ribosomal RNA", at positions 499 to 807 of the family's 1533-position model. The record is from RNAcentral.
GUAUAAGAGACAGCAGUAGCCACGGUAAUACGUAGGGUGCAAGCGUUAAUCGGAAUUACUGGGCGUAAAGCGUGCGCAGGCGGUUAUAUAAGACAGAUGUGAAAUCCCCGGGCUCAACCUGGGAACUGCAUUUGUGACUGUAUAGCUAGAGUACGGCAGAGGGGGAUGGAAUUCCGCGUGUAGCAGUGAAAUGCGUAGAUAUGCGGAGGAACACCGAUGGCGAAGGCAAUCCCCUGGGCCUGUACUGACGCUCAUGCACGAAAGCGUGGGGAGCAAACAGGAUUAGAUACCCGCGUAGUCCCUGUCUCUUAUAC